RNAcentral lists this ribosomal RNA (400 nucleotides) under uncultured eukaryote. RNAcentral describes it as "partial 18S ribosomal RNA". It matches the Rfam family "Eukaryotic small subunit ribosomal RNA", at positions 592 to 976 of the family's 1831-position model. The record is from RNAcentral.
CAGUAGCGUAUCUUAAAGUUGUUGCAGUUAAAAAGCUCGUAGUUGGACUUCUGCAGAUUCAAUUUAUUUUGCCUUGGUUCUGUGGUCUCCGGACUACGGAUUCUCUUGGCAAAUCUGCUUUUUGUUGUGACCCUGUCUACCCUUCACUGGGUUGGACGGUGUUGGAUCAACUCUUUUACUUUGAGAAAAAUAGCGUGCUCAAAGCAGGCGUCUUUUGCCUUGAAUAUAUUAACAUGGGAUAAUACCAAAGACUACGCAUCUAUGUUGUUGGUUAUGGAUGUGAAGUAAUGAGUGAUGGGAACGGCUUGGGGGUUUCGGUAUUCUAGAGGGAGAGGUGAAAUUCUUGGAUCUCUGGAAGACCACCUGCUGCGAAAGCGUUGACCAAAGACGUCUCCGUCAA